GACGAACGCUGGCGGCGUGCCUAAUACAUGCAAGUUGAGCGAUGAAGAUUGGUGCUUGCACCAAUUUGAAGAGCAGCGAACGGGUGAGUAACGCGUGGGGAAUCUGCCUUUGAGCGGGGGACAACACUUGGAAACGAAUGCUAAUACCGCAUAACAACUUUAAACAUAAGUUUUAAGUUUGAAAGAUGCAAUUGCAUCACUCAAAGAUGAUCCCGCGUUGUAUUAGCUAGUUGGUGAGGUAAAGGCUCACCAAGGCGAUGAUACAUAGCCGACCUGAGAGGGUGAUCGGCCACAUUGGGACUGGGACACGGCCCCAAAGUCUACGGGAGGCAGCAGUAGGGAAACUUCGGCAAUGGACGAAAGGCUGACCGAGCAACGCCGCGGGAGGGAAGAAGGGUUUCGGAUCGUAAAACUCUGUUGGUAGGGAAGAACGUUGGGGAGAGUGGAAAGCUCAUCAAGUGACGGUAACUACCCAGAAAGGGACGGCUAACUACGUG
Molecule: ribosomal RNA, 497 nt
Filed under: uncultured bacterium
Lineage: Bacteria
Description: partial 16S ribosomal RNA
Rfam family: Bacterial small subunit ribosomal RNA
Source: RNAcentral